Molecule: ribosomal RNA, 648 nt
Filed under: Triticum aestivum (bread wheat)
Lineage: Eukaryota; Viridiplantae; Streptophyta; Magnoliopsida; Poales; Poaceae
Description: partial small subunit ribosomal RNA
Source: RNAcentral
AUGGACCCCAAUGAUUGCAUUAUUCCUAUUACUCAUGCAGUGGUGCAGAGUGAGGACACCAAAGCUUGGAGGUGGUUUCUAACUGCAUUGAAGGAAGAUUUAGGAAUUGCGAACACUGAGUUAUGGACAAUCAUGUCAGACAAGCAAAAAGGUUUAAUGAAGGCUGUUAAAGAGUUGUUUCCUCUAUCACCUCACAGAUUUUGUCUGAGGCAUUUGUGGCAGAAUUUCAACAAGAACUUCAAAGGAGAAUCUUUGAAAAAUCAACUAUGGAAGUGUGCUAGGAGUACUACAGAGGGUAGAUUUAGGGAAAAUAUGAACCAGAUGUUAGUGCUCAGCCAGGAGGCCCAUGAUUGGCUUGCAGAGUUGGACCCAAAAAUCUGGGUUAGGGCUUACCAGAAUGAUUUCCCCAAGUGUGAUGUGCUGUUAAAUAACAAUUGUGAGGUGUUCAACAGAUAUAUUUUGGAGGCUAGGGAAAUGCCAAUCAUAAGCAUGAUCCAAAGGAUCAAAGGGCAGAAUAUGGGAAGGAAUUAUGCAAAGCAGCAUCAUAGUUUGAAGUGGCAUGGUGCUAUAUGUCCAAAGAUAAGAAAGAAACUGGAGAAGAGUGUAGAAUUUUCUAGAACUUGUCAAGCUGCACCAACUGGCAAAUGA